Molecule: ribosomal RNA, 878 nt
Filed under: Phytomyza plumea
Lineage: Eukaryota; Metazoa; Arthropoda; Insecta; Diptera; Agromyzidae
Description: Napomyza plumea partial 28S ribosomal RNA
Source: RNAcentral
GGUUUCCCCUGACUUCAACCUGAUCAAGUAUAGUUCACCAUCUUUCGGGUCACAGCAUAUAUGCUCAAGGUACGCUCUUGUUAGAGGUAUAAAUAAUAUAAAUAUUAUUAUACAUAACUAUAGAACGCCCUGGGAUUGAAUAAUUAAAUUUAUAAUUUAAAAAUUAAUCCCAUUAAAUAGUUAUGUUAAUUAUGCUUUUGGGUUUUAUAAAUAAAAUCCCAAAAACUUGCACAUAUGUUAGACUCCUUGGUCCGUGUUUCAAGACGGGUCCCGAAGGUAUCCUGAAUCUUUCGCAUUGUAAAUCGUAUAAAUGCUUAUAAUAUAUAAAUAUAUUAUAAAAUUUCAUAAAUGAAAUUAUAUGCAUUAUACAUAUGAUUAAAUCUAUUAAUACUUUAUCAAAUUAAUAGAAAUUAUUUUGAUAAUAAAUUCGAAAAAAUAUUAUACAAAAUAAACAUAAAACUAUUAAUCUUAUGAUAAAUAAAUUAUAUAUUAAUAGAUUACAAUGUCCAUUUAUAUAAAGAAAAUGCACACUAUCUUAAUAAUAAAAAUUACUAAUAUAAUGAUGAAUUCUUUAUAUUGGAUAUUCAGGUUCAUCGGGUUUAACCUCUAAGCAGUUUCACGUACUAUUUAACUCUCUAUUCAGAGUUCUUUUCAACUUUCCCUCACGGUACUUGUUUACUAUCGGUCUCAUGGUUAUAUUUAGUUUUAGAUGGAGUUUACCACCCACUUAGUGCUGCACUAUCAAGCAACACGACUCUUUGGAAAUAUCUUCUAAUAAUCAUUAAUGUUAUACGGGCCUGGCACCCUCUAUGGGUAAAUGGCCUCAUUUAAGAAGGACUUAAAUCAUUAAUUUAUCAUACUAGAAUUUAGAUAUUCCA